GAUGAAGAACGUAGCGAAAUGCGAUAAGUAAUGUGAAUUGCAGAAUUCAGUGAAUCAUCGAAUCUUUGAACACACAUUGCGCCCCCUGGUAUUCCGGGGGGCAUGCCUGUUCGAGCGUCAUUUCAACCCUCAAGCUCUGCUUGGUAUUGAGUCCAUGUCAGCAAUGGCAGGCUCCAAAAUCAGUGGCGGCGCCGCUGGGUCCUGAACGUAGUAAUAUCUCUCGUUACAGGUGCUCGGCGUGCUUCUGCCAAAACCCCAAUUUUUCUAUGGUUGACCUCGGAUCAGGUAGGGAUACCCGCUGAACUUAAGCAUAUCAAUAAGCGGAGGA
This 328-nucleotide unclassified non-coding RNA is filed under the name soil metagenome. Its description in RNAcentral is "partial contains 5.8S ribosomal RNA, internal transcribed spacer 2, and large subunit ribosomal RNA". The stretch from base 1 to 120 matches the Rfam family "5.8S ribosomal RNA", at positions 35 to 154 of the family's 154-position model. The record is from RNAcentral.